This is a long non-coding RNA of Gallus gallus (chicken), 3236 nucleotides long. The record is from Ensembl. Lineage: Eukaryota; Metazoa; Chordata; Aves; Galliformes; Phasianidae.
AAACAUCUUUGUUUAAUGAUCUGCUUUCAUACUGGUAGAAAUGAACAAAUAGAACCAGACCUCUUUGUAAAAUGAUCAAGGAAACUAUUAAUUGUAGACUAUAGAAUAUUCCUCUCUACAUUUAAGCAUCCUAGUCAAAAUUUUGUAUUAAUAAUUCUACUGGAGUGUAGUGCUGCUUUUCUGGAGAACCUUCACAGCCUGGAGAAAGGGGUUUAAAAAGCCUCAUCACAUUCAGCAAAACCAAGUGCAAAAUCCUGCACUUCAUCAGGAAUAAUCUAAUAGCGGAUAAAAUGCAGCUUUGCAGAAAAUACCCUGACUGUCCUGGUAACUAGAAGUUGAACAUGAAAUAGCAAUGUGCACCUCCAACAAAAAAUGCCAGUAUUCUGGGCUGGAUUACCAAGGAUGCUGCCAGCAGGUAGGGUAAUGCAUUUUUUCCCCAAUUUUUUUGCACCUGUAAAAUCAAAUCUAGAGCACUAUGAACUUUCCAGUAAAAGAAGCAAAUUGACACAUCUAGUACAGGGCAAUAAAAUGAUUAGGGCUACAUGACAAGAGAAGAUAAGCUGAGAUAAGAGGCAUUAUUCAGUCUUAGGAGGACAAGUCCUUUCAGACAUUGAUCAGAAUACUUUUCUCCUGGUUGAAAGAUAUGGAGAAGAUGGAGAUGAAAACUCUUUUUUAGAUUCAAUAGUAUUAGGACAACAGAAAACAGAAAAAAAAUGCAUAUCAUGGAAAAUGUAGAGUACUAGUAAGGAAUUUUUUUCAUGUCUGUGAAUGUGAGAGUCAGAGGGAUUGGAAUCGCUUGGUAUUCAAAACACAUCUGGAUACCGUUUUUAGAAAUCUGCUGUUACUGAAUUGCUUUGAGUCAAAUGUUGGACUACAAGACUUCCAGAGGCACCUUUAAGCAUAAAUUCUUUUAAGAUUCUGUGAUAUUUUCCAGAGUGUGGUGCACUGAAAUCAGUAUCCAUUGAAGGAGACAAAAGAGGGUGGAUGAUUAUAUGGAAAGGGCAAUAAGAUAAAUGUUAUUAAAAAUAUUAGGGAAAAGUUGGAAGAGAUGUUUCCAAGAGGAUAAGAUAAAAAAGGCAAUGAGAAAUGUAGAUAGAAACAAUAAGACACUAAAAGUAUCUAGCUUCAAUAAUUCCGUUUUCAUUUGCACUUUAUCAAAUAAAUUUUCCAUGUAAUUUUAACAAACACUUUCUUAAAAUAUGGCUGAUAGGCUUCGUUUUCAUGUGCCUUUAAAUGACUUUUGGAAACUUAAAAUUAAAUAAAAUUCCUUGUGUAAUUUUAAAUAUGUCAAUUUUGUUCCUCUUCAGCCCUGAUUGAGUCUUACACAGCUUUUCUGAAUAUUCAUACUUACUUUAGGGGAAAGACAUAUGUUAAAAGAAAUAUUAUUCUGCAGACUCUAGACGCCUGGAAGGCUGUAUCAUUUGAAAAUCUGAGCAAGUUCACUGUUGUCAUCCAUGUUCUCCCUCUAAAUAAAGAUGUUAAUUGAUUUAAAUCAUGUCAAAAUCAUUUUCAGCUCAGGAGGUUGCUCAGUGCUGAUCUUGAUGAUAAAUGUAAUGUCAUGUGGAAUAGAUUUCACUGCAACUUAGACUAACUUUCUCCUCUAUGAAAGCAGAUUCUGGAGAAAUAUGACCUCUUGAUGUUGCAGCUUUGGAAAACAUUACAAGGUAGAACCAAUGACUCUUUCAAAUGGACUAUGAGAAAUCUUAUGUUCAGUAGAUUGGUUUCAUCAUGGACUUUCCUAUUCACUUUACUUGUAUUGUUUUAAUCAUUUCUAUGCCAAGAAUAUGGCUGUUUCAUUUUUCUUUUCAUGAAUUAAAAUUCAAUCAAACAAGUAACAGCUUUUCUAGGUUAAGCUACAAACUAAAGAAUUAUUCUAAAGAAAUAGAUAAUUCUAAGUUGACCCUGUCAGUUAACUUUAUUAUUCCCAUUAAAUAUGAAUAGUAUCCCGGGUCAUCCUGUUAAAAGUCUUGUCUUGUAAGAGAAGCUGGUUUUCCAAAAUAUUAUUUUGAAAGAAUUUCUAAAACUUUGCAUUAAAAAAUAUUCUGUUUUAUAGGUGCUUAUGCAAUAAACAGUUGCUCAUAAUCAUAAUUCCUCUGUAUUUGUCAUGACAUUAACCAUCCUAAAUUUCACCUCACACUUAAAAUACUGUUAAACUUUAUAUCAUCUCAGGUUUUCUUUUUCUUGUUUCUGUUUGUGUAUUUGCUUAUUCUUAAAAUAUUUAUUUUAUUUUUUGUCUUCAGAACAUGUAUUAUGUGUUCCUUUCCACAGCAAAAUAAAUGAACUGGACAAGAAGAACGUAUAUGAAAUCACCAAAGACAUUCUAUCCAAAAAUAAAUCAGAAUAUUUUAAGAAUAAAGUAAUGAAUCCAUUUCAUUAUUUCUCGCAAUGAGAACAGCAAUCUGAACAUUGAGAAGUUCAGAAUGUAAUGAAUCAUAGAAUUCCACAUAGAGAGCAGAAAAGCAAUUUUAAUAAAUAGGCAGAUCAUAUAAAAAUGAUUUGUAUCAAUAUCUAUCAGUCUGAACUCUGACAGUACUGCACCCACUGUUUCCCCCAAAGUAGGCAAUAAUGAAAAAGUGUCUCUUCCAUUUAUGCAUUAAUUUCAGGACUGAUUGCACCUAACCACACUGAAUCUGUCCACAUCCUUUUCAAGCAUGGCAACUAAUGAUCACAAUUCCUGUCAUGUAGAUCAGUGCUUCAACAUCUGGUUGGAAAUUGUCAACUCUGCAUACUGCAAAUCUAUGUUCUGUCAAUAAUACAAAUGGAUAAAUAGGCAGGUGCUAUUUCAGAACUCUUCUCAUACUGCUUUAAGCUGUGCUGAGCCAUUUUGUCAAAUAAAGUUCUAACGCAUGUUUGCUUGAGUUCAAAAAUAUUUGUUCAACUUUUCCUUUUAAUACACAUUAUCACAUUCAUUCAUUACCUUGUCUCUAUCUUGACUUGAUUAAAUUCAAAGUUUUUCUAAUAUAAUCUACCACACAUUUAACUGAGUAGACAUUUCGCAUCAAAAAAUACCUGUUCUGUCCAACUUUAUGUAUAUUAUCCCAAACUAAACCAUGAGGAAAACUUCAGAAUGUUUUUCUGUGCUAGCCUUUCAACAACGCAUACACAAGGCUAGUCUUAUGGAGUUCAUUCAGAACAAUUUUUUUUUUAAAAAAUGAUAUUCAUUUAUUUUGCUUCCUUCAUGAACGACUUUUUCUUAAUACCCAAACACGGGAGGAUAAAAAAAAAAAAAAAAAAAA